This 74-nucleotide transfer RNA is filed under the name Synarthrophyton chejuense. Its description in RNAcentral is "tRNA-Thr". It matches the Rfam family "tRNA". Rfam says of the family: Transfer RNA (tRNA) molecules are approximately 80 nucleotides in length. Their secondary structure includes four short double-helical elements and three loops (D, anti-codon, and T loops). Lineage: Eukaryota; Rhodophyta; Florideophyceae; Hapalidiales; Hapalidiaceae. The record is from RNAcentral.
AGCCCUUAUAGCUCAGUGGUAGAGCAUUUUCUUGGUAAGAAAAAGGUCACGAGUUCAAUUCUCCUUAAGGGCUA